Molecule: ribosomal RNA, 253 nt
Filed under: uncultured bacterium
Lineage: Bacteria
Description: partial 16S ribosomal RNA
Rfam family: Bacterial small subunit ribosomal RNA
Source: RNAcentral
GACGUAGGGCGCGAGCGUUGUCCGGAUUUAUUGGGCGUAAAGAGCUCGUAGGCGGCUUGUCGCGUCGACUGUGAAAUCCCGCGGCUCAACUGCGGGUCUGCAGUCGAUACGGGCAGGCUAGAGUUCGGUAGGGGAGACUGGAAUUCCUGGUGUAGCGGUGAAAUGCGCAGAUAUCUGGAGGAACACCGGUGGCGAAGGCGGCAUCCUGGACCGGUAUUGACGCUGAGGCGCGAAAGCCAGGGGAGCAAACGGG